CUACGGGCGGCUGCAGUGAGGAAUUUUGCGCAAUGGGGGGAACCCUGACGCAGCAACGCCGUGUGAGUGAAGAAGGCCUUUGGGUCGUAAAGCUCUGUCAACUGGGAAGAAGUUACUAUGCGUAAAUAGAGUGUAGUAUUGACGGUACCAGUGGAGGAAGCGUCGGCUAACUCCGUGCCAGCAGCCGCGGUAACACGGGGGACGCAAGCGUUAUUCGGAAUUAUUGGGCGUAAAGGGCGCGUAGGCGGUCUUGUCGGUCAGGUGUGCAAGCCCGGGGCUCAACCCCGGACGUGCACUUGGAACAGCAAGACUUGAGUACGGGAGAGGAGAGCGGAAUUCCUGGUGUAGAGGUGAAAUUCGUAGAUAUCAGGAGGAACAACGAUGGCGAAGGCAGCUUUCUGGACCGAAACUGACGCUGAGGCGCGAAGGCGUGGGUAGCGAACGGGAUUAGAUACCCGCGUAGUC
RNAcentral lists this ribosomal RNA (465 nucleotides) under uncultured bacterium. RNAcentral describes it as "partial 16S ribosomal RNA". It matches the Rfam family "Bacterial small subunit ribosomal RNA", at positions 339 to 795 of the family's 1533-position model. The record is from RNAcentral.